GAUGAACGCUGGCGGCGUGCCUAAUACAUGCAAGUCGAGCGAACGGACGAGAAGCUUGCUUCUCUGAUGUUAGCGGCGGACGGGUGAGUAACACGGGGAUAAACUACCUAUAAAACUGGGAUAACUUCGGGAAACCGGAGCUAAUACCGGAUAAUAUUAUGAACCGCAUGGUUCAAAAGUGAAAGACUGUCUUGCUGUCACUUAUAGAUGGAUCCGCGCUGCAUUAGCUAGUUGGUAAGGUUACGGCUUACCAAGGCUACGAUGCAUAGCCGACCUGAGAGGGUGAUCGGCCACACGGGAACUGAGACACGGUCCAGACUCCUACGGGAGGCAGCAGUAGGGAAUCUUCCGCAAUGGGCGAAAGCCUGACGGAGCAACGCCGCGUGAGUGAUGAAGGUCUUCGGAUCGUAAAACUCUGUUAUUAGGGAAGAACAUAUGUGUAAGUAACUGUGCACAUCUUGACGGUACCUAAUCAGAAAGCCACGGCUAACUACGUG
This 497-nucleotide ribosomal RNA is filed under the name uncultured bacterium. RNAcentral describes it as "partial 16S ribosomal RNA". It matches the Rfam family "Bacterial small subunit ribosomal RNA", at positions 28 to 507 of the family's 1533-position model. The record is from RNAcentral.